RNAcentral lists this long non-coding RNA (12971 nucleotides) under Nicotiana tabacum (common tobacco). RNAcentral's name for it is "long non-coding RNA (NTAB_LNC001774)". The record is from RNAcentral. Lineage: Eukaryota; Viridiplantae; Streptophyta; Magnoliopsida; Solanales; Solanaceae.
GAGUACUGAGGUAGCAUUGAACCACUCUAGGACCUGAGCUGGGCCUACCGAAAUUGUCUGGGCCGGAACCUCAUCUUCAAACUCUACCUGAGGCUCCGCCACUAGUACUGUUGCUCUAGGCUGAGCAUUGCCCCUGCCUCAGCCCCUAGCAUAGCCUCGUCCUCGUCCUCUAACCCUUGUGGGAACUGCUGUUGGGGGCUCGAGAUGCUGGUUAGUAGAUGAAGAAGCGCGUGUUCUUGCCAUCUGCGAAAAAACAGAGUAGAAAAUCAAUUAACAUUGAGAUACCAAACUGCACGAUAGAGAUGAAUAUAAGUGAAACUGUUCCUAACUUUGCAGCCUCUGGGGGGAUAAGCACAGACGUCUCUGUACCGAUCCCUCAGACUCUACCAAGCUUGUCCAUGAAUUGUGAGACCUAAGCAACCUAGAGCAUUGAUACCAAUUUGUCACGACCCGGAUUUCCCACCCUUGAGAGUCGUGAUGGCGCCUACUCGUGAAAGCUAGGCAAGCUGAGUAUUAUAGAUUCAUUAGCCCCUUUUACUUAACCUUUUUAACAAUUUUAAACAACAUGAAAUCAACAGUGGAAUAAUAAUAAUUAAAGACAUACGGAAGAAGAAAUCUGAUAACUUAGCCAAAUACAAAUACGAAAAAUACAAAGUACAUCUCUACCAAGAACUGGUGUUACAAUAUCAUGAACCAUCUACGAAUACUACAAAUAGUUGUCUGGAAAGAAAGAUACAAUCUGUCUCUGAUGUAAAUGAAAACAGAAUAUAAAGAUAGAAGGGGAUUCUAGGGCCUGCAGACGUCUGCAGGACUACCUCGGGUCUCCUGAUGGACUAAAGGCAGCAACCUCUCUCUACGGUCCAAAUGCUCUAGCACCGGGAUCUGCACACAAUGCAGAGUGUAAUAUCAGCACAACCGACCCCAUGUGCUGGUAAGUGUCGUGCCUAACCUUGGCGAAGUAGUGACAAGGCUAAGACAAGACUACCAAAUAAACCUGCACAGUUUAAAGCAUAAAUGACAAGUAAUAAUAACAGAAACUAGCAAUUAAAGAUGGGAGGGAGAAACAUGUUGCGGGGAAAUAUCCAGUACCAAUAGUAACUUAGGAGAAAACAUAAAGAACAUCUUAAAGUCAGCAUUAGUAAGAAUAAGGAAAUAGUAACAAUUAAUAUCCACUUUCAUUCUUUAUUGUUGCGGCGCGCAGCCCGAACCAAAUAAUAUAAAUCUGUUGCGGCAUGCAACCCGAUCCAAAUCAUAUAUCACUGUUGCGACGUGCAACCCGACCCCUCCUAUCCUCCCUUAUUACUCCAUGUUGAGGCGUGAAACCCGAUCCCAUAUAAUGUUGUUGCAGCGUGCAACCCGAUCCCAAUAUAAAAUUCAACACCAAUUACAAAAGAAUCCUGACAAGGGAACAAUUAGCAAACAACACUAUCCCGGCAAGGGAACCAACAAUAAGAAUAAACACAUCCCGGCAAGGGAGCCAAAAGUAAGAAUUAAAUACGUCCCGACAAGAGAAUCAGCUAUAACCAAACUUGUACCAACAUUUAACUUGACAAAUGAAACCUCAACUAGAACCAAUACUCAACAAUAAGCAAAUACCACGAGAACAGUCAUGAUUCUUGCCCAACACGGGGAGUUAACAACUUAGGCAUUUGUUGUACUUAUUAAGAUCACAACGAUUAUAAUUUAGGACUCACGGGCAUGUUUGACAAUGACGUAUAGAUACUCGUCACCACACCUAUACAUCGUACACUACACUAGCACAUAGCAAAUAAAGCACAAUACUUAUUUCCUCAAGCUAAGGUUAGACCAAACACUUAUCUCAAUGUCACGAACACAAUUCAAGCCUCAACUACGGCUUUACCUCUUGAUUCCACCACCAAUUCGCUUGUAUCUAGCCAUAAUUUACUUAACGAUAUCAAUAAAUGCUAAAUAAAUCAAUUCUAAUGCAUGGAAAUAGGUUUUCUAAAGAUUUUCCCAAAAAGUCAAAAAUCGACCAUGAGCCCACAUGGUCAAAACCUGAUGUUCGAACCAAAAACCGAUUACUCAUUCACCCAAGAACUCAAAUAUAUAAUUUGUUUUGAAAUUGGACCCCAAAUUGAGGUCCAAAUCCCCAAAAUUUAAAAAUCCUAGUUCUACGCAAAACACCCAAUUUCCCCCAUGAAAACCCUUGUUUUUGAUUUGAAAUCAGGUGGAAAGAUGCUAUAUAUUAAAGAAAAUGAGUUAGAAAUGACUUACAAUCGAUUUGGAGAAGAACUUUUCUUUAGAAAAUCGCCCAAGAGAGCUUAGGGUUUGAGGGAGUUUGAAAAAUGAAGAAUUUUCGGCAAAGUUAUUGUAGACAUGUGAUUUUUGACCAUCCCCAAGAUUUUUUAUAUUUUAGCAUGUAAAUAUUUAAUUUAGGCCUAAUAUCGCUAUUUCAACUAACUUUGACUCUUUUACUUUAUUUUUAUUACAAGAAAAUGAAAAUUAUAAAAAAUAGUUUCAUUAAUGUUUUAUAGUCAUUUUUAAUCUUGAAAAAUACCAAAAAUAAUUUUGUUUUAACGGUCAGUCUUAUUUUAAUAGUUAUUUUACUUAAGUAGGAUUAAUUAAUAAAUGAGAUCAUAUUUUUAGUCUCGUUCGUGGGAAAAAAUUAAAAUUUGGGCUCAAACGACCCAUUUUUAGGCCUAAUUUUCGGAUCUAGCUCAUAAUUCCUAGGCCCAUACCCCUUAACCUAAAAAAACCCUACAAAAACCUAGACCUAGACACUCUACAAUCAGUCAUUUGGACUGAAGACCUAAUGAGUAACGCCUAAAACCUUCACAAAAAAGAUACAUCAGCUGUUUUUUCAUAGAAUAGGACCCUCCCCCCACAGAUAUGUCUCCUUCUGAAAACAAAGCAACCAUUUUCAUGGCUUUUGGCUAAACAAAAACAAAGCAGCCAUCUCACAAACAACCACCCUCAACUUUCCAUUUUCUACCCAAAAACCAUCCCCGAGCUUCGUCUUCUCAGCGCCUAAAGACACAACUAACCUCUUUUAUCUUCUCCACACCCAAGAACACCAAACGACUCACCCCUCCACAUAGAUGUAGAUAGAGAACGGGCAGAGAGAGUGACGAUCAGGGAGGAGGACAGAUGAGAAACAGAGGCUUACUGACGGUCUUUCAUCAAACGAAAAUCAAUCGCACCUCCUUCUUCUUCAAGAGAAAUUUUCUCUUUAGAUUUCUGUCACACCUCCUUUUUUACUACACCCCCGGAAGGGUAUAUAAGGGAGUUUUUUCCAACUUAAAGUGACAAUCGAAACGGGAUUAUUUUAUUAAAAAAAAAAUCAGAGUCGCCACUUGGGAUAAUUUAUGGUGUCCCAAGUCAUCGGUUCAAAUCUAGAAUCGAGGAAAGAUUGACUCUGUAUUACAGUCCGCGAACACAGAAAUUCGGGUAAGGCAUUCUGUUAACCCGGGAGAAGGUGUUAGGCAUUCCCGAGUUCUGUGGUUCUAGCACGGUCGCUCAACUGUUAUUAUUGGCCAAAUUAUCUGAUUUUAAAAUACUUUUAAACCUAUGUGCAUUUUAGCUUUAAAUCGUUUUUAAUUAUUUUCAGAAAGAUUUCAACGUCAUCUAAAACAUGUCUUUGGACCACGCCACAUGAAAUGCACCCGAAAUCCGAGACACAUUUUAUUUAACGUUGUUAAGAUUUAGAUUUGGGUCACAUGAAAUGCACACCCGAGUUUAAAAAGGUAAUUUUUAAGAUAGCUCGCCUAAAGCAACUACGCUCUUUCAAGUUUGCGAGGGCCAUAGAAAAUUCAAAUAAUGGCACACCUCGAUUUCUAGAGGAUUAAAAUUAGUUGAGUGAGGGCCAUACAUUAUGGGAUUCAUAUGUGAAUGGCAUGCCUCACUUUAUUUUAAAAAGAUUCGUACUCAACUAAAGCGAAUUACGGAUGUUCAUAAGUGACCAUCCAACUUGUUUAGAAUCGAUUCACACAUGUAGAAAUUUAUAGAUCUAAUUUUGAAAGCAUCAAUAACAAACGGGAGGCUGCCAAGGAUAUUAUGGCCGAUCAUAUAGAGACAAAUAGCCAAACCUUUUAAUGCAAUUACGCAGUAGCACCAGACAAAAAAAAGCUGCAACAUAUAUAAAGUAAAAUCUUUAUCUAAAGGUAAUUGGGCAUUGUAUUAAAGUGAAAUUUAUACAUAUGGCUAAUUAUUUAGGAUCAAUCAACAUAUGCUAGCAGUAGUCAUCUCUAUUGCAAAGGAAGAAGAUUCAAAAGGAAGCAAUUGUAGGAGACCGUAUCACAGUAAUAGCAAAAUAGAAACAUGUGCUCUUAACCAACGCACCAUCAAGGGCGGAGCUUUAUAUUUUCGAAAACUUGACUUCACAACACGACCGGAAUAAGAACCUCAAACGAAGACCGGAAACAACAAAUUGAGAACAAAUUUCAGCUCAAUACUUCAGAAAUCAAGCUAAGCACGCUAAUCAAAUUCAUUAAAAUCAAUUAACUCAAAUGAUCUAGUCCAAGUUCAUCUAUAACUCAAACUUUUCAAAAUUUUCAGCACAUAUGCACCUUCAGCACAUCACAUCCACUCUAUUGAACACAACCAAACAUGCUUCGCAAAUUCGAAACAUCUGUAAUUCCCCACCAGAAUUUGACGACAGUGAUAUAAGUUAAACAGGUUUGAAUCUUCUAACUUACAAAUUACUUAGAAAAGGAUUCAAUCAUAUAAAGAUAACAAAUGUAUCGAAAUUUCAUGGAGAGGAACAAAAGACACGUUUCGUAUUAUGUCCAAGUAAAACUUGAAUUCAUAGUUGAAUACCUGGUUGGGCAAGAAACGAUUGAAAGAGCCAAAAAAAAAACACAACAAAUAGGGCUGAAGUUCGGCAAAUACGAGCAGAAAUUAGAAUGGAACCUCGAGCAACAGCUGGGAACUCGACUCGGCACCACGAAUGUUGAAUCGAACAUGAACUCAAACCCAAAUAUCAGUCAAAUUCCAUUUUUUGCGACAAAUAAACCCAGCCAAAAAUCCUCUACCUCCGUCUUGAUUUUCUAUCUGUUCUCUCUGCUGUGUGUGUGUGCUUAGCGACUGAAAUCCAUGAAAAAGAUGAAGUUUCUCUGGGGGCGGGGGGGACGGUUUUGGCUGACGAAGGUGAUGAAGAAGAAGACGGCUUAGGGGUGCUGUAUGGGGUGCCAGCGUUCAGGGGUUUUCACUUCAGAGGAAGCCAUGAAAUUUUUUGCUGUUUCUUCUAUGAAGACCGUCGAUCAGGGGGUGGGUAUCCUGUGUAUUUUUGUUGAGAAGAUGAAGUUACAGGGGAAUAGGGUCUUAUUUUGUCCUUUGCGGCAGAUUUCUAAAGAGGUCCCUCUUAUUUUAGUGUAUUUCCGUCUCUUUAAAUAGGUAGCAGAAAUGAAUUACCUAUUCACAAAUACCCCUUCCCCAAUUUUUUAUUUAACUCCACUCAAAUACUUUUCUUUGCUCUAUUCAGUAAUGCACUCCCAACCUCACCACUCUAGAAGCUUUCUAAUUAGUUAGGUAAGACUCCCCAAUUUAAACAAUCCCUAGACUACCCUUAAAACCUCAUGUUAAUUACUUCAAAAACCAAAUGGGUCAAAUUGACCCAAGAUUCAACCUAGAAAAUUAGAUUAAUUACUCAAAAUAAUAAUUAUCCCAACUAAUUAAAUACCAAAUUAAAAGAAAAUUGUCAAAAUUCAAAAAUUAAAGAGUAAAAUGCAACAUGACUAUUUUUUAUGAUGUUUUUCUAUUUUGUCAAACAACAACUUACUUAAUUAAUCUAAAAAUGUAAAAUAAAAUCCUAAAUGCAGAUACAAUAUAUUAUUUUAUAUUUUUAUGAUUUGAAAUAAAUGCCAAAGAUAAUCCUAAUUAAUUAAACUAAAUAUGAAACUAUUUUUGUGUUUUCAAAAUUAUAUAAAGAUAAAAAUAAGGUACUAUUUUUUGUAUUAUUUUUUUAAAAAAGAAUUUAUGAAAAAUACAUAAACUAAAAUAUUUUUUAUAAUUUUUCUUUUUCUUGUAAUAAAAUAAAGUAAAAGAGUCAAAAUGCGUUGAAAUAUCUAUAUUAGGCCUAAAUUAAAUAUUUACAUGCUAAAAUAUAAAAAUAUUGGGGAGGGAGGGUCAAAAAUCACAUGUCUACAAUUUUCAUUAAAACUCAAGUCUCAACAUUAAACUACAAGACAACUCUUUAAACACCUCAAAACAAGCCCUAAAACAACCAUGAGAAUCCAUGGCACGAACCCCUUUCCCUUCGAGUUCCGGUUGCAAUCGAGCAGCGAGGUUCAAUCCGUCGAGGUCGCCGGUUCAAAGUUCAGUCAAUAGCUCGCUGUGGUCGAUUCGAUUUGGAUUUUUACAUUUGGAGAAUGCUGAGCAAAGGUCCAUUCUAAUAUUUAUCAUCUUUUUGUGUACUUGCGUGAAUAAACCCACACUAUCCUUAAUAAAUAUUGUUCAGUUUAAAUUGUGGUUUCCAAGUUAUAUUAUCAUGUGAAUAUUUUCAUGUUAUCCUUGUUAGUAAUAUUUUUCUCUUUCUUUUGUCUAGCUUGAUUCAUUUAUUAUGGCCAUGUUCACAAUUUUGUGCUAAUCUGGUGGGUACAUAUUUGUGGCGAGGUUAUUAGUUUAUUUGUGCUUCAAAUUUUACAUGAUUCAUUAAGCUUGUUUUUAUUUGUAUUAUUGCUUGUGUUUCAUAUUUUUGUUAUCUUAAAUUUAUAAUGUUAGAUUUAUCAAAGGACAGAAAGAUUUAGGGGUUGGAUAUAAAAGAAAAAUCAGAAUGUUAAACUAGUCAAAUAAUUCCAUAACUUCAAUCACCUUUCUUGAGUAACGAACUGUGUGGUUAUUCCAACAAAUGAUUUCCAUAAUUUUGGACCUUCACAUGUAAUCUUAAAUUGUAGUAAGUAAUUUAAGUCAUGGACAUUCGUCGUUUACUUUAGGCACGUUUAAUAUACUAUCGUAAUUGCGUACACGUUCGCGUGACAUAAUUAUGAUUUUAAAACCAAAUCGGAGUAUGCGUGCGCGCAACUUCGACCGAAAUUUCUUAAUAAUAAUAAGCCGUUAUUAAUUGUGGACACGUUCGCGUGACAUGAUUUUUGACACGCCAAACGGAAUGGGUACACGUACGCGUGACCUGUUUUAAGAUAACUUUUCUUAAUUAAAAGGGCAAAUGCACAUAGGUUCUAAAAUCGGUGAUCAAACAAUUUGAUUAAGCCAAGUAUGAUCAAAACGACCGUGCUAGAACCACGGAACUCGCGAAUGCCUAACACCUUCUCCCGGGUUAACAUAAUUUCUUAUCUGGAUUUCUUUGUUCGCCGACCGUAAAUAGAGUCAACUUCCUCGAUUCGGGAUUUUAAACCGGUGAAUCUGAAUUAUCCCAAGUGGUGACUCUGAAUUUUGAAUAAAUAAUCUCGUUUCGAUUGUCACUUAAAUUGAAAAAAACUCACUUAUAUACCCUUUCGGGGUAGUAAAAAGGAGGUGUGACAGCUCUGGCGACUCUACUGGGGAGAAAAACCCAAAACUUCUGGUUCAGGGUUCAAGAAUCCGAGCUUGUUUUUACAAUUUUUUACUUGGCUUUCUUUAUUGUUUCUAUUAUCGUAUUUGUGGACCUAAUGUGCUAAAUGUUGUUUAUUUACCGCUUUGUAUUAUUUGAAUUGUAUUAAACUGUCUUCUUACACCACCCCUCUGAGUCUUCUGAAAAUGGUGCACACGUUCGUGUGGCCUUCUUUUUCUGUAGAAGUUAUACCGAAUAAGAACAGGGUUGGGCCAGUAACAAGGCCGGGUAGACUUCAGUGCUCCCAGUACGUUGCCCCAUCUUCGGUUCGAGUUGUCCGCUCGGGUAAGCCAGGUCAAGAACACAACCCCAGGCUUUAAACUUAGAACAACAUAACCUCAUGUCGGAUCACUAGUAGGAACAUUUGCUUGCAUCACGUGGAUUUGACUUAGGGGACUCAACGCAGGGGUUGGGUACGUCUAGGAUAGGUGUACCCAAAAAUAAAAGACCAUCAUGAUGCAUCCUAUGUGCUACAUGUUACAUUUCUUCAAGGGUAAAAGGAUCAUUUGACGGACCAAUGAUGACUAAGGGUAAAUGAGAAAAAAAAAGGUGAAGUGUGAAAAUAAAGCAAGUAGGGCCCAGUUAUGUUUUCUUUCACAUUUUUGUUAAGAAAAAUACAAAAAACAAAUAUGACAAAUUCAAAAAAGAUUUUGCACUUUUUCAUCAUUUUUCGAAAAUCAAAAAAUCAAAAAAAAAGAGGAAAAGAAAAUCCAAAAAGAGUUUACAGUUUCAUCAUUUUUCAAAAAAAAUUUUUUCUCUAAAUUAGUUUAUUUAUUUAUUCUCACCCGUAUCCAAUCUGCCCAAACUACGCAUACCUGAUUCUCGUCUUUCGGGGCGUAAUAUGUAGACAACCCACAUAUGGUCUUGUCUUCCUAGUGAGUGUUUUUGGCUUCGCGGGGUCUUAGCUAAAUCUUGCAUUUUUAGUCACUUUUAGCCACAUAGGUUAAUUUUAGAAAAGUAGUCACAAUCAUGUCUUGCAUGCGUCCAACAGGAAGAGUUAUUGUCUCAUAUAGCGUUCUAGGUCUUUAACUUUAUUUGGUCUUAAUUUUCUCAUACAGGUGUGGACUUACUUACCGGAGUUUGAGCAAGACAGACCCCCAGGACCAUCUGGUCAGGACCGUUGCACCCGGGAGUUGCUUAAGGAAAUUUUUAUUUUUAUUUUUUUAUGUUUUGAGUCUGUUUUUCUUUUUAUGUCGUCUUUUACCUUCUAGUUUUGUACAGUAAUGUCGAUUUUUUUAUUAUUGUACUUUCUGUUUUGUAUUUGAAAAAGUGUGUAAUAAAUCAAAAAUCCAAAAAAAAGAAAUUUUGCGUUUUUAUAUUUCUGUUAGAUGUUUUCUUUAGAAUACUAAUUCUAGGAAUAAAAAAAAUCAUUUGAGGUGGUUUUCCUUAGGAAAUUAAUAUCUAGACGUCAAAAUAAAAAUUGCUUUUAUAUUUUCUUUUAGUACAUUAAGACUAAAAAUACAAAAAAAAGAGAAUUUUCUUUUAGCACCGGUUUAAAAGUUUUCUUUUAAGAUAUUAAUUUCAAAAAUCCAAAAAGAUUUUCUUUUGAGGUUCUUCUUUGGGAAAUUAAUGAAAAAAUAAAUUAAAAAAAUAUUUUGUUUUAUUUUCACUAGAACUUUAGGAUAUUGUACAUAGAAUAAGAAAAAAACAUACUUUAUAUGUUGUUUAUCUUUAAAGUUUCUUCCUUAGGUAAUCAAAAACUGAAAUUAAAAAAUAUUUUUUUUAUCUUGUUCAUUUCUCGUUUCGAAAUCUUUUUCAGGGAUAUCGAAUAAAAAUUCAAAAUAUUUUCUUUGGUUUAUUCCUUAGAUUUCCUUCCUAAAAAAACAAUCAAAAAAAGAUUUUUCUCUUCUAGGGUUUUUUCCUUAAUUAUUUUCCAUAGAAUGUUUGUUUAAAAAAGAAAAAAAGAGAAAAAAUAUAUGCUCGUUAAGCUUGAGUUUAAAAUAUGUUAUAGAACAUUAAGUCUAGAAUACUCAAAAAAAAAAGGAUUUGCUUCUUUUAUUUCUCUUUUCUCAUUAAGAAAAGAGAACGUUAGUUUGUUUACUUUAUUCCCGAUCUUCUCAAACUACGCAAAGAUCUUAUUUAUGCGGCGACAUGAUACGUAAGCAACCUAAAUAGGGUUUGAUCGAAUCAUUUUUUUCAAAAAAGGUGAAAUUAUGGGAUGUGAAAAAUGAGAGAAAAGAAAAGAGUGAUAAUUAUCAAAAAAAAAAAAAGAGGAAGGAAAAUGAGCCAAUAAGUGCUAGAAAAGAAAGAAAAGAGAAGAUUGAAAUGAACAAAAUUGGGAUGAUGCCAAGUGACCUUGUGACCCUAAAAGUCAUUCUAGAACCGUUAAUUGUUGCUAGGUACAUUGCACGCAAUGUUAUAUUUUUAGCUGUUAAAUGCNNNNNNNNNNNNCUAGCAAAGACUUGGACGCAAAGGUUAUUGAUCCGUCUAAGGGAAUUGUUGAAUAAGAAUCUAAGUUGAAAGAAGAGGUCUUGAGGUUGAAAGGACAGAUGGCCGAAAUAUAUCAAGCCUGGAUUAGUGGGCAUCGUCCACCAUCAGUUCCCACUAACUACACUGAAAGCCUUGUCACCAUUCCGCCACUAUCACAAAUCCAGGAUAUCUCGCCGCAACCUUUUCAUACUCUACCCCUAGAACCACCUUACAUCCCGCUCCUUUGACCACUCAUGUUUUUGUAACCCCUCCACCUGCUACCUUUCCUCGAUCCUCUAGCGAGACUGUGUUCAAAAUCCCCGAUGCCCAAUGUCACACCUCCUUUUUAUCGGGAAGAUAGGAAAGAAAGGAGUUUUUCCAAUUUAAGUGACAUUAUUCGAAAUGAGAUUAUUUUAUUUAUUAGAGUCGCCACUUGGAAUAGUUUAUUUGGUAUCCCAAGUCACCGGUUUAUUUUAAAAUCCCAAAUCGAGGAAAAUUUUAUUUUUUAAAGUCUGCGAACCAGAAAUUUUAGAUAAGGAAUUCUGUUAACCCGGGAGAAGGUGUUAGGCAUUCCCGGGUUCCGUGGCUCUAGCAUGGUCGCUUAGUGAUUAUUACUUGGCUUAAAUUGUUUAACAACUCAUCUUUAGGACCUAUGUGAAAUUAUCUUUUUAAUGCUUUUAAUCACUUGAUUCGUUCGUAAUUAAAGAAUUGAGUUAUGCGUACAUACACUCUUUUCCUUUGGCGCGUUAAAAUCAUGUCACGCGAAUGUGUCCACAAUUAAUAAUGCUUUGUUUAUUUUUAAGAAAAGUUUGGUUGAAGUUGCGCGAACGCAUCCCUCGAGUUACUUUUAGAAUUAAAUUCGCAAUUAAGUUACACGAACGUAUACAUAAUCACAAUACUAGUCUAAAUCGAGCCUAAAGCAAACUACGAUAAUUCAAUUUUUAAAAGCAACAUUUGUGAGGGCCAUGGAUAAUUUAAUUUAUUUAUGGAACACCUCAAACCUUUUCAAUAAGUGUUAGUUCUUAAUCUAAUCUUACGAGGGCCAUGAAUUAUAAAUUUUGUUUGGCAUGACACACCUCACUUAUUUUAACAAAAGGGAGUUGCUUUUUAUUUUAACAAUUCAUCACGCUUUAUUAAAUAUUAAGAAAGUUUGGUCGAAGUUGCGCGAACGCAUACCUCGAUUUUGUUAUUAGGAUCGUAAUCAUGUCAAGCGAACGUGUGCACAAUUACGAUGAUAGAUUAAGUCGCAUCUAAAGCAAGCUACGACUGCUCAUGGUUAUUAAGUCUAAUUUGAGAUUAUUCCCAUGAAACGUUCAUAUAGGCACCUCAAUAUAAAAGGAGUCACGCAAUUUUACUACAUGUUAAUGUCAUAGGCAAAAGCAAAACAGUGCAAGUGUCGACACACUGCAAACUGAAGCACACAUUUAAGUAAAGAAACACAUGAAUGAAGAAAACAUUAAAAAUACAUGGAAACUGAAAUUGAAAUAACUAUAACAUGCAAAUAGUAACAUUUGUUAUUUUUUUUUUUUUUUUUUUUUUUUUGAGUUUUCAUGGCCAAGGGGUUAACAAUUGAAAACGUAUACUAAAUAACUAUAGCUUAGCCUCAAACACCCAAUUUAUUUGCAAAGAAAAAUAUAUAUAUUUUUUAUAACUUACUACACUUAUAUAAAAAAAUAAUUAUUAUAGUUUAUGGCCUACUUAAUACUACCCUUAUCUAGUCCCACUCUAAACAGUUAUAAAAAUUAUCAAAAAGGCAUAAUAGAAGCACAAAUAAAUAAAUAAAUAAAUAAAUAAAUAAAUAAAAUUAAAAUGAACAAACACCCUAUGGAAAAGAACUGUACUCAACAAAGUUAUUUGCACCCCUAAAUAAAUAUGAACUAUUAACGUAAAAUUGACUUACCUUUUAACAAGUGGCCAUUCAUUAGAAGAUCAUUACACACACAAGACAAAAGUUUAUAUAUACUACUGGAUUCACAUAGAAGGAAUAUGACAACUUUUUUUUUUUAAAACGUAAAUGAAUUCGUAAAACUAGAAACAUGAUUUAAUUAAACCUUCAAAACAAAAUUUAGUUAGUAACAGAAUUCUUAUCAGAUUUGAACUUAAUUGUGAUUGACUAUCAUUUACCAUUUGAAAUGAAAAGUUUUUUUUUUUUACUGAACAAACUAAACCCAACUCACACGAAGAUUAGAACAUAGUACUUCCUGCUUCUUUCCACUAGAGAACAUUUUCAUAAUUAUUAACAUAUUCCUAAGACUAGACAAUUAACAAAAAACGAAUUAUUCAAUGUCUCAAUUUUAUGAAAACAGAAGCGUCAUCCUUGAUUCUUAGUCAAUUAAUGAUCUUUUGAAGAAAAAAGUCACAAACGAAUAGAAACAUAAUAAAAUAUGGUGAUAAAAGGUACCGUCGAUUUAAGCGGACUAACUGAGAUAAAAUAAUUACAUAUCCAAAAUAUUAUAUCCAAAGUCUUGACCAAAGACAUGAUAUCAAGGUAUUGACAUUUCAAGUAUAACUUAAGACAACCAACAUAAAAUUAAAACAUCUUUAACAUACUAUUCAAACUUUAAUUAAAAAGAUCAAAGUAGGACUUAAAGUACAUAAACGAACCUUAAAUUUCCUUGUGAAUAUCCGCAGAAAACGUACUAUACCAACUCCGAACAACGAACGAAACUUCAAAACUCAACCAAAUAAUUCUUUUGAAUCUUGCCUUGGUUACUGCCUUUUCUUUUUCUUUCUUCUUCUUUCAACGUUAACUUUUUUUUUUGUUUCCAAAAAUCCCCCCUUUCUUUGCUGAAGAGAGUGAUAUUUAAAUAGCGAAGUUUGCUGGAUGGUUUCCCCAUCUCCCCAUGAAAAUCGAUAGCAGAAGAGGGGAUCGUGGGAUUUGUUCUGAGUUGUUUCAAUUUUGAAAAUAAACAAGUGAGUGUGUGCAAAUUGUGAAGAGUGGGUAACAUGGGGUAAUUGUGAGAGGAGACGUGGGGGGUGGGGGAAGUUAGAGUUGGGGUUGUUAGCAAGUCACGUUAUCUCAAAUCAGAUAUUUGAGAUAAAGUUUGUGAUACCAAAC